This 392-nucleotide ribosomal RNA is filed under the name Terebellides sp. 358 PB. Its description in RNAcentral is "partial 16S ribosomal RNA". It matches the Rfam family "Bacterial large subunit ribosomal RNA", at positions 2005 to 2597 of the family's 2925-position model. Lineage: Eukaryota; Metazoa; Annelida; Polychaeta; Terebellida; Trichobranchidae. The record is from RNAcentral.
CGAAGGUUAUGCUGUCUCAAAAAUACCAGUAUAAAUUGGCCUUUAGGUGAAAAGACCUAAAUUCUAUUAGAGGACAAAAAGACCCCGUAGAGCUCUGUAUAUUAAUAAUUUUGUUCUUUUAUUUUAUAAAAUCUUUAAAUAUUAAUAAAAUAUACUUAGCUGGGGCGGCUAUGGAACAUAAAUCUUCCAUAAAACACUUAAGAUAAACCAAAUCUUUUAACAAAUAAAUGAUCCUUUUAAGAUCAAAGAAACAAGCUACCUCGGGGAUAACAGAUUAAUCCCUUUUGAGAGUCCACAUUGACAAAGGGCUUUGACACCUCGAUGUUGGCUUAGAAUUUCCCAAGGGUCAGCAACAGCCCUUAAAGGUAGGUUUGUUCAACCUUUAAUAUUCU